This 482-nucleotide ribosomal RNA is filed under the name uncultured bacterium. RNAcentral describes it as "partial 16S ribosomal RNA". It matches the Rfam family "Bacterial small subunit ribosomal RNA", at positions 28 to 507 of the family's 1533-position model. The record is from RNAcentral.
GACGAACGCUGGCGGCGUGCCUAACACAUGCAAGUCGAACGGAACUGUUUUGAGAGAUUUCUUCGGAAUGAAUUUGAUUUAGUUUAGUGGCGGACGGGUGAGUAACGCGUGAGUAACCUGCCUUCAAGAGGGGAAUAACAUUCUGAAAAGAAUGCUAAUACCGCAUGACAUAUCGGAACCACAUGGUUUUGAUAUCAAAGAUUUUAUCGCUUGAAGAUGGACUCGCGUCCGAUUAGUUAGUUGGUGAGGUAACGGCUCACCAAGACCGCGAUCGGUAGCCGGACUGAGAGGUUGAACGGCCACAUUGGGACUGAGACACGGCCCAGACUCCUACGGGAGGCAGCAGUGGGGGAUAUUGCGCAAUGGGGGCAACCCUGACGCAGCAACGCCGCGUGAAGGAUGAAGGUUUUCGGAUUGUAAACUUCUUUUAUUAAGGACGAAAAAUGACGGUACUUAAUGAAUAAGCUCCGGCUAACUACGUG